ACGGGUGAGUAUAAUGUGGGUAUCUGCCUUUUGGUUUGGAAUAACACGGGGAAACCUGUGCUAAUACCGGAUAAGCCUUUACAGGGAAAGUUUUAACGCCAAAAGAUGAGCCCGCACUUGAUUAGCUAGUUGGUAAGGUAAUGGCUUACCAAGGCUACGAUCAAUAGCUGAUCUGAGAGGAUGAUCAGCCACAUUGGGACUGAGACACGGCCCAAACUCCUACGGGAGGCAGCAGUGGGGAAUCUUGCACAAUGGGGGAAACCCUGAUGCAGCGAUGCCGCGUGAGUGAAGAAGGCCUUUGGGUUGUAAAGCUCUUUCGUCGGGGAAGAAAAUGACUGUACCCGAAUAAGAAGGUCCGGCUAACUUCGUGCCAGCAGCCGCGGUAAUACGAAGGGACCUAGCGUAGUUCGGAAUUACUGGGCUUAAAGAGCUCGUAGGUGGUUAGAAAAGUUGGUGGUGAAAUCCCAAGGCUUAACCUUGGAACUGCCACCAAAACUUUUUAACUAGAGUGUGAUAGAGGAAAGUGGAAUUUCUAGUGUAGAGGUGAAAUUCAUAGAUUUUAGAAGAACACCAAUUUGCGAAGGCAACUUUCUGGAUCAUUACUGACACUGAGGAGCGAAACCUGGGUAACGAAAGAGGAUUAAAUCCCCUUGUAGUCCCAUGC
RNAcentral lists this ribosomal RNA (664 nucleotides) under uncultured Alphaproteobacteria bacterium. RNAcentral describes it as "bacterial SSU rRNA". It matches the Rfam family "Bacterial small subunit ribosomal RNA", at positions 102 to 801 of the family's 1533-position model. Lineage: Bacteria; Pseudomonadati; Pseudomonadota; Alphaproteobacteria. The record is from RNAcentral.